GACUUUGGAAGGUGCGCAGCGUGUUGCAUCCUACGUCUGUUCUGGGGCUGUUCAGGGGCACUCUUUCCUCCAGCGUGGCAGCCAUUUUGUCUAGUUUUUUAAAGUGCUUGGCCAGCCUUGAGCUGAAGACGGGGGAGUUUACCUCUCCGUCAGACUCCUGUGGGCUGUAGUAGUAGCUGCCGUCAUCAUCAACAACAACUUCUCCAUAUUCAUCGUAGAGGCCGGAGGGUGAGAUCAGCUUCCUGCGACUGCCGUACUGAGGAAGUUCAUAACUGGACAGAGAGGAGGAGGGAGAACAAAAACAGACAGCAUUAUAGAAAAGCAAUAACCAAAAAGCAGAAAUAGCUAAUUAUUUCACUGUGAUUCAUUUUGAAGGGUUAUUUUUCUCACAAGCAAUGCAGUAGUCAUUUUUGGUAUGUGUAAUAAUAAUAAAUAAAUUGAAGCUGUGGUAUUAUUGUACAACAGCUUCAGCCAAUCAGAAGUGAAGACAGGAGAGAAAUCUGCUUUACAAACAAAAGUGUUGCACUUGGCUAAUGCUUAUCCACAGCCACUUAGAGCAAUACACAGGGCAUCACUGUGGUUCACUCCAAUGAUAAGCAAUGCUUAAUGACUUGCCUAAGCAAAGCUGCCUUAAUCACAAAAGGAGCACUUUGUUGCCAGGAGACAUUUUGUUAGCAGAAAACAGUGGAAUCGAUUUCCCUCCCUUUUGUCUCCCUUUGUUGCCUGUUGCCGGGAGCGCUGCCUGGCUCCACCGGCCAAAAAACUGUGUUGUGUAUCACCACUUGGGCUCCGUGCCCUGCAGCAAGCAACUCAGAGAGCCACUGGGUCAAAAAACAAAUCUUUUCAAAUGCUAUCCCGGAAACAGUAUGUCCCAGUGUGAUUAAAGUAACAAAUCAGCUGGAAGUCUUUUGGCUUCGUUCCGUAACAGAAUUGUACAGAAAAGUUGCCUCGUGUAAUCACUCUGCUUACAGUCAACUGGUGGGAGAAGUUGCCCUCCUAUUACAUUAAGAAGCCAGGUAAUAAACAAAUGGAAGGGGCAAGUGGAUGACUGAUGUGUUUGGGUGAGAGGUGAGGUAGAGGAGUGUUAGGGAUACAGAGGGGGGAGAAAAAAGAGGCAAGAGAAAGAAGAACAAGUGAAUAAUGGAAGGGUCGAGACAGAAAGACAGACAUAAAUGUUAGUUAUAAUCCUUACAGUACGGCCUCUGCAAGCUAAUGAAAUGAGUCUUAACCUUCCACUAAAACCUGCUUAUGGGAUUUCACAGUCAUUAACCCACAGACUCAAACUGAAGUGCACACACAAUCAAAUUACUUAACGGCUA
Siniperca chuatsi (mandarin fish) is the source of this 1319-nucleotide long non-coding RNA. RefSeq lists it as uncharacterized. The transcript is spliced from 2 exons. NCBI's taxonomy places the organism in Eukaryota, Metazoa, Chordata, Actinopteri, Centrarchiformes, Sinipercidae. The record is from RefSeq and is a predicted model, not a curated record.